Poecile atricapillus (Black-capped chickadee) is the source of this 1466-nucleotide long non-coding RNA. RefSeq lists it as uncharacterized. The transcript has 3 exons. The record is from RefSeq and is a predicted model, not a curated record. Lineage: Eukaryota; Metazoa; Chordata; Aves; Passeriformes; Paridae.
UGUAGGACAACCAUGGGCUGACAAGACAUCCACAUGCAUAUAAAAAUCACCACAUCAAGGCAUUAAUUUUUCUGAAAAUUUUUGCCUCCAAGUGCUAUGCAAAUUAAGCAGUUCACCUUCACUUUCCCCUGGUGGAAAAUAGGCUGAAUCAAGAGAGGACUUACAAACAGGACUUGACAAAGUGUGUAAUUCUUUAGAGCAAUUAGGGUCCCAGCAUGGGACAGGAGCUGUGCACUUCACCACUCUUGCCUGUGUUCGUAUCUUUACGUUCACUUGAGAAGUUUGACAUUGCUCAACUAACAAAAAAUGGCCGAAACAUUUGAAUGAAGCAAAUGCCAGACAAAAAAUGAACUGUCUCACAAGUCAGCUCUGAAGCUCUUAAGCCAACCCUCUUUCCCUGCAGCCAGCCUGAUGCCACAAUAUUGCCAUAGUUUUGACAGGAAGUCCCACCUGAAGAAGGGAAAAGAGAAACUGUGAAGCCAGGCAUUACCUUAGCAGAACCACACCGACGCAGUGGAUGACAGCAAAGAAGGAAUUUUGGCAACAACCUCUCGAGGAUUUUGCUGCUCCUCAGGGGAUCUUCUGACUCAAUGAAGGGCACUUACAAGGUGGAAAAAUGACAGGCUGUGCAUCCUCCAUCCUUGGAGAUUUUCAAGACUGGAUAAAACUACGAGCAAUCUGGUCAGAUCUUCAGCCAACCCUGAUUUCAACAAGAGGUCAUUCUGGAAACCUCCAGAGGUGUCUUCCAAUCUGAACUAUGCUGUGCCCAUUGCAACAUAAGGAUUGUGUGGUGCUGCUGCCCGUGCUUAGCAGAAUAGCAACUUCUGGCCUUUAUUUCCUGGCCAGAACCAAGUAUUUGAUCUCUGCUAAAGACAAACUCUUCCAUUUUUCAUGCUUCACCAGAAAGAGUCACUGGGUAUGGCUGCAGAAGCAGCUCGAUCCCAUAAUGCAAGACUUAUCCACAGGCAUUUCCAGCUAGCUUAAAUUGUGAGCUCUUAAACCAAUGAGUACUGACACUUUGCAUUGCACUGUGUGGACAUAAAAUGUAGCUGGGCAUUUAAGUAAUGAGCAGAAAUUUCUCUUAAUCUUGUCAUAUUCCCUUGAAGGCAGUCAUGAAGUACAACACAGUUUAUUCCCUAGUGCCUAUCAUGCCUCACCUUAUGAAUAAUUCAAACAUACAACUUUGCUUCCAUUUUUUAGAAUUCUGCUGAUUCUUUUUUGUUCUUUCCGUGCCUAUCUUUCCAUUUACUGGCAAGUAUUUUCUCUUCAUUUGUGCAUAUAAACCACAUAAUAACACCAAGGUUAUGCACUCUCAAGGCUACUCUUCCACACAACCUUUCCUCAUGAUGAGCAGUGCUUGUAAAUGUACUGAAGCUGAGAAGAGACACAGGGAGCACGCUGCCCUAGUAAAUUUGUCUGAGCUCUCACUACAAUAAAAUAACCUAGAAUGUAGCGCAAAGAAAAGG